RNAcentral lists this ribosomal RNA (468 nucleotides) under uncultured bacterium. RNAcentral's name for it is "partial 16S ribosomal RNA". It matches the Rfam family "Bacterial small subunit ribosomal RNA", at positions 28 to 507 of the family's 1533-position model. The record is from RNAcentral.
GACGAACGCUGGCGGCGUGCUUAACACAUGCAAGUCGAACGGAAAGGCCCUGCUUUUGUGGGGUGCUUGAGCGGCGAACGGGUGAGUAACACGUGAGUAACCUGCCCUUGACUUUGGGAUAACUUCAGGAAACUGGGACUAAUACCGGAUAGGAGCUCCUGCUGCACGGUGGGGGUUGGAAAGCUUCGGCGGUUGGGGAUGGACUCGCGGCUUAUCAGCUUGUUGGUGGGGUAGUGGCAUACCAAGGCUUUGACGGGUAGCCGGCCUGAGAGGGUGGCCGGCCACGUUGGGACUGAGGUACGGCCCAGACUCGUACGGGAGGCAGAAGUGGGGAAUAUUGCACAAUGGGCGGAAGCCUGAUGCAGCAACGCCGCGUGCGGGAUGACGGCCUUCGGGUUGUAAACCGCUUUCGCCUGUGACGAAGCGUGAGUGACGGUAAUGGGUAAAGAAGCACCGGCUAACUACGUG